UGAAUUUUCACAUGUUUAUAUUUUAGAAUCAUUAAUCAACCAAAGUAAAAAUUUUCCUAAUUUUGAUCUCAUUUUGUAGUCCAUCACUAAACUACUUCCUUACUUGUAUUCAAUUUGAAAUUAAUUUAUGGACUGUUUAUAACCAAGUAGCUACCGAAUUGGAGGACACGUUUCGUUUCUUACUGUGACGAGUUUCCUCUUCAAAUUAAAACAAAGAAUAAAGCCAAGCAGAGAAGAUGAUGGUGAGAAUCCGAUUAUGGAGAUUCGGGUGCAAACUCAAGCAUUAUAUUGUGUCGUAGCUGCUGAUAAUGGAAACUGUUGGUCUUUUAGGCUCUGUUUGGAUGGGGUGA
This 350-nucleotide unclassified non-coding RNA is filed under the name Hevea brasiliensis (rubber tree). Lineage: Eukaryota; Viridiplantae; Streptophyta; Magnoliopsida; Malpighiales; Euphorbiaceae. The record is from RNAcentral.